UCAAAGACAAAGACUUGGAGCUGAACCCGUAAGCAUAUUUCCUUUUGAUUUCUCAGGUAAGGUUUUUAGUUGUUUUAAGAAGAUGGGCUGAUCAUGUCUUCGAUCUACAUAUAUAUUCUUAAGUUGUGAUGAGAAAUCCCUAUCGAUCAAACUUCCUUUGCUCUCACCAUCUCUGAUUAAACGCCAGGUCUCCCAAAACCUCACCCCAUGCCUUGCAUAUGCUCUUUCUCUCUCUGGAACUUUAGGCGGCACCAUCGUUCCACCGCCUUCCCCCUCCACCUCCUGUCUAACCCUAAACCGCCAUUAAAUCUCCGUACACACAAACAUGCACACUCUAAAGAAAACCCUAGAUGUAUGUCAUUUGCCAAUGCUGAUAUUAGACGUUGACGCUACAAUUGAAUGAGUCAAGGAGGCAUUUCAUGUGAAUCCAUAUCUGUUCUUAGACUUGACCACCUACAUAUCUAUGAAGGUCGAUAUAACUGAUAAUCCAUAGAUGCCCACCUGUUGCUUACAUUACCACUGCUGGCAGCUACUUCUUCCCUUGUAGAUGAGAGUAAUUGGCUGUGGUUUCAGGGUAUUCAACUCAUGUAGCCUACUUCCUUUUUUGCAUCUUUGAAAGCAUUAUGAUAUGGGGAAAUGUCAUGAGGCAUGGCGUCUGAAAUUCUCUUUACUUUAUUUUUAGUUUCUGCAUUCUAUUGUUUUUUUGUACCUUUAUGUCUUAUCUGUGUGCUAUCUUUUGUUGUGUUCAUAGUCUAUCAAAAACGUUGACUCUUGGAUGUUAGCUACAUGUAUCAAAACGUCAAAUUCAAAGUCAAAUCAAUGAUAACAGAUGAUUAAAUCACUUACUUGGACCUAUUUAAUCUGUUUUUGUCUAAUUUUUACAUAGCGUUUGAAGAAGAUGAUACACAUUGAAAGAUGCAUAACGUAGUUGAGGUGCUAUUCAGCCAUUUGUGAUAGAGCCUGGUGAAUUUGUUGUUAUUAAAUGUGUUGCUAUUGUAGCAUUGUACAUGUAUUUAACUAUGAAUGUAUUGCUACUGAAUGCCAUUAUUGGGAUAGAUGUUACAAAGAACAAUGUCAUUAUUUAGAAAAAUAAUGAAUUUGAUAAAAUUUGCAACUACCACAACUGGGAUGGACUUCCUGCAAUAAAUUUUGAAAAUCGAUUUGGCAUUCAUUUUUUGUC
This is a non-coding RNA of Lactuca sativa (garden lettuce), 1180 nucleotides long. NCBI's taxonomy places the organism in Eukaryota, Viridiplantae, Streptophyta, Magnoliopsida, Asterales, Asteraceae. The record is from RefSeq and is a predicted model, not a curated record.